Molecule: ribosomal RNA, 504 nt
Filed under: uncultured bacterium
Lineage: Bacteria
Description: bacterial SSU rRNA
Rfam family: Bacterial small subunit ribosomal RNA
Source: RNAcentral
AUUGAACGCUGGCGGCGUGCCUAACACAUGCAAGCCGAGCGGUAACAGGUGUAGCAAUACAUGCUGACGAGCGGCGGACGGGUGAGUAACGCUUGGGAAUCUGCCUAUUAGUGGGGGACAACCCGGGGAAACUCGGGCUAAUACCGCAUACGCUCUACGGAGGAAAGCCGGGGACCGCAAGGCCUGGCGCUAAUAGAUGAGCCCAAGUCGGAUUAGCUAGUUGGUAGGGUAANGGCCUACCAAGGCGACGAUCCGUAACUGGUCUGAGAGGACGACCAGUCACACCGGAACUGAGACACGGUCCGGACUCCUACGGGAGGCAGCAGUGGGGAAUAUUGGACAAUGGGCGAAAGCCUGAUCCAGCGACGCCGCGUGGGUGAAGAAGGCCUGCGGGUUGUAAAGCCCUUUCAGUGGGGAAGAAAAGCCUCGACCUAACACGUCGGGGUCUUGACGUAACCCAUAGAAGAAGCACCGGGCUAACUCUGUGCCAGCCGCCGCCGUAAG